This is a long non-coding RNA of Lycium barbarum (goji berry), 994 nucleotides long. RefSeq lists it as uncharacterized. The record is from RefSeq and is a predicted model, not a curated record. The transcript is spliced from 4 exons. Lineage: Eukaryota; Viridiplantae; Streptophyta; Magnoliopsida; Solanales; Solanaceae.
CUACAAAAGCCUUGAAAAUUAGUGCAGAACUGAAGAUUUAACUAAGAAUAAUACCUAUCUAGUUGUAUUAAACCAUGAAAUAGAACUCUACCCUGUAUUCUAAAGCAGAGUUUAACCUUAUUGUGUCAUCGGAUUAUUGCGACCUCUCAAUUAAUGGACACGAUAUUGUCUGCCUUGAAGGGGAAUGUCCAGAGGAUGCAUUGAUGCAUUCCGAGAUGAAAAUUGUGAUUGAAGAUUGCCCUUUGCAGCAGACAUCCUUCUCAUAUGGUCUAAUCAGGUGACUCAAAAAAAGUUUAUACAUUGGUCCUUCGGAACAUAUGAGUGAUGUUAGCAACUCGAAUCAGUAGCCUGCAGAAGGAAAGCCUCUGAAGACCAGAUGUGUAGAUAAAGCCAAAGAAACACUAAUUGGUUACCUUCCUUCUGCAUCAGAGAGAAGCUUUGAGGAAUACUAUAUGAAUAGGAAUACUAUAUGAAUACAUAUGCUCCCGAUGGCAGAAUAUAUAACACUAAAUUAAAGACAUACUGAUGGGCAGAGAAGGACUGAGGACCAAAGUCUAUUACUACUGGGAGGAGGUCACAUAUAUUAAAUGUAUCAGCAAAAGAAAAAUGUGUCUGGCGCCCGGAACAUGAGACGCAGCUAGCUCAAAACUUCAAGAAGAAAGCUCAGCGCUUACUAUGUUUGAAUGUUAAUGUUGUGGUGGAUUUGUGGAUUGUGUAAGUGUUUUGUGGAUGUUUGCGAGCGGUGAAGUAGUCUAAUGUUGUAGACUAACUUAGUCUAAUGUUCUAGACUAAUUUAGUGUAGAUCUACUAGUUUAAUGUUUUGUGGAUGUUUGCAAAGGUUGUGAAGUAGUUUAAUGUUGUGUAGAUGUUUGCGAAUGUUGAAGUAGCUUAAUGUCUCUUCGGAAUGUUUGAAUGACGUUUUGAUUCAACUUUGAAGUAGUUUCGAAUUGAAUUUGACGUAUUGUUGGUUGUAAUAUAUGUAGUUGUUGAAGUA